Molecule: long non-coding RNA, 327 nt
Filed under: Scleropages formosus (Asian bonytongue)
Lineage: Eukaryota; Metazoa; Chordata; Actinopteri; Osteoglossiformes; Osteoglossidae
Description: lncRNA (ENSSFOG00015028910.1)
Source: RNAcentral
CUGCCGCGAGCCGGGGAUUCUCGCGCUGUAUUCGGCCGCCGAGAGAUGUCCGGCCACGAAGAGCCACAAGUGGUGCAUGAGCUGAGCGUGGAGGUGGAAGAAGUGCAUUAUGGGUCAGAGGUCAGCUUUUCUGCACUUGUUUCCUCCCCGUGGUCACGUGCGUGGUUGGGGAUGGUGUGUCUCCUGGCUGUAAGUACACAACAAGAGAAACAACAUGUAGUAGACAACUACAUUUGACUGCAAUUAUGAAGGUCAGUUAUGAAUUUUGAAGUGAAAUAUGAGCCCAAAUGUAAAUCCCCAGUCCUAUUAUUUUGCUUGAUUUCAGUU